This 450-nucleotide ribosomal RNA is filed under the name uncultured bacterium. RNAcentral describes it as "SSU rRNA". It matches the Rfam family "Bacterial small subunit ribosomal RNA", at positions 26 to 518 of the family's 1533-position model. The record is from RNAcentral.
AGGAUGAACGCUGGCGGUCUGCUUAACACAUGCAAGUCGAACGGAGUAGCAAUACUUAGUGGCGGACGGGUGAGUAACGCGUGAGAAUCUACCUUCAGGACGGAGACAACAGUUGGAAACGACUGCUAACCCCCGAUGUACCGAAAGGGCAAAUAUUUAUAGCCUGAAGAAGAGCUCGCGUCCGAUUAGCUAGUUGGAGAGGUAAUAGCCUACCAAGGCGACGACGGGUAGCCGGCCUGAGAGGGCGACCGGCCACACUGGGACUGAGACACGGCCCAGACUCCUACGGGAGGCAGCAGUGGGGAAUAUUGCGCAAUGGGCGAAAGCCUGACGCAGCGACGCCGCGUGGGGGAUGAAGGCCUUCGGGUUGUAAACCCCUUUCAGCAGGGACGAAGCGAGAGUGACGGUACCUGCAGAAGAAGCGCCGGCUAACUACGUGCCAGCAGCCGC